Molecule: ribosomal RNA, 440 nt
Filed under: uncultured bacterium
Lineage: Bacteria
Description: partial 16S ribosomal RNA
Rfam family: Bacterial small subunit ribosomal RNA
Source: RNAcentral
CCUACGGGUGGCAGCAGUGGGGAAUAUUGCACAAUGGGGGAAACCCUGAUGCAGCGACGCCGCGUGAGUGAGGAAGUAUUUCGGUAUGUAAAGCUCUAUUAGCAGGGAAGAAAAUGACGGUACCUGACUAAGAAGCCCCGGCUAACUACGUGCCAGCAGCCGCGGUAAUACGUAGGGGGCAGGCGUGAUCCGGAUUUACUGGGUGUAAAGGGAGCGUAGACGGAAUUGAAAGUCUGAGGGGAAAAUCCGGGGCCCAACCCCGGAACGGCAUUGGAAACUGUAUGUCUAGGGAGGCGGAGAGGCAAGUGGAAUGCCUGGUGUAGCGGUGAAAUGCGUAGAUAUCAGGAGGAACACCAGUGGCGAAGGCAGCUUGCUGGACGAUGACUGACGUUGAGGCUCGAAAGCGUGGGGAGCGAACAGGAUUAGAUACCCUGGUAGUC